RNAcentral lists this ribosomal RNA (429 nucleotides) under Gemmatimonadota bacterium. RNAcentral's name for it is "Gemmatimonadetes bacterium partial 16S ribosomal RNA". It matches the Rfam family "Bacterial small subunit ribosomal RNA", at positions 355 to 776 of the family's 1533-position model. Lineage: Bacteria; Pseudomonadati; Gemmatimonadota. The record is from RNAcentral.
UUGGGAAUCUUCGGCAAUGGACGAAAGUCUGACCGAGCAACGCCGCGUGAGUGAAGAAGGUUUUCGGAUCGUAAAACUCUGUUGUUAGAGAAGAACAAGGACGUUAGUAACUGAACGUCCCCUGACGGUAUCUAACCAGACAGCCACGGCUAACUACGUGCCAGCAGCCGCGGUAAUACGUAGGUGGCAAGCGUUGUCCGGAUUUAUUGGGCGUAAAGCGAGCGCAGGCGGUUUCUUAAGUCUGAUGUGAAAGCCCCCGGCUCAACCGGGGAGGGUCAUUGGAAACUGGGAGACUUGAGUGCAGAAGAGGAGAGUGGAAGUCCAUGUGUAGCGGUGAAAUGCGUGGAUAUAUGGAGGAACACCAGUGGCGAAGGGGGCUCUCUGGUCUGUAACUGACGCUGAGGCUCGAAAGCGUGGGGAGCAAACAGG